UAGGGAAUCUUCGGCAAUGGACGGAAGUCUGACCGAGCAACGCCGCGUGAGUGAAGAAGGUUUUCGGAUCGUAAAGCUCUGUUGUAAGAGAAGAACGAGUGUGAGAGUGGAAAGUUCACACUGUGACGGUAUCUUACCAGAAAGGGACGGCUAACUACGUGCCAGCAGCCGCGGUAAUACGUAGGUCCCGAGCGUUAUCCGGAUUUAUUGGGCGUAAAGCGAGCGCAGGCGGUUAGAUAAGUCUGAAGUUAAAGGCUGUGGCUUAACCAUAGUACGCUUUGGAAACUGUUUAACUUGAGUGCAAGAGGGGAGAGUGGAAUUCCAUGUGUAGCGGUGAAAUGCGUAGAUAUACGGAGGAACACCGGUGGCGAAAGCGGCUCUCUGGCUUGUAACUGACGCUGAGGCUCGAAAGCGUGGGGAGCAAACAGGAUUAGAUACCCCAGUAGUCCCUGAGCGGGCUGGCAAGGCGCAU
This 472-nucleotide ribosomal RNA is filed under the name uncultured bacterium. RNAcentral describes it as "bacterial SSU rRNA". It matches the Rfam family "Bacterial small subunit ribosomal RNA", at positions 355 to 825 of the family's 1533-position model. The record is from RNAcentral.